AUUCAUUUAGUAUAAAAAGUAUAUUUAACUUCCAAUUAAAUGGUUUAAAAGUUUAAAAUGAAUA
This 64-nucleotide transfer RNA is filed under the name Podulmorinus opacus. Its description in RNAcentral is "tRNA-Gly". The record is from RNAcentral. Lineage: Eukaryota; Metazoa; Arthropoda; Insecta; Hemiptera; Cicadellidae.